Pan troglodytes (chimpanzee) is the source of this 1587-nucleotide RNA transcript. It is a transcript of the gene named leucine rich repeat containing 39, with no coding region annotated. The record is from RefSeq and is a predicted model, not a curated record. The transcript has 12 exons. NCBI's taxonomy places the organism in Eukaryota, Metazoa, Chordata, Mammalia, Primates, Hominidae.
GAAGGCUCUGUUGCCCAGGCUGGAGUGCAGUGGCACCAUCACAGCUUGACCUCCCUGGCUCAAGCUGACUGGGGAUUUUAAUCAUUUGGAGCCACACUGAAAAAAAAAUUUCCCCCUGCAAUCUACUCUUAACUGAUAGUUGCUAACUUUGGUUAUGUGUGUCUAUUCAGAAUAUUACAUUAAUUGAUUUCUCAAACAAAGGUCCUUUCUGAAAUGGUAUCUAUGAUUCAGCUAUUCAAAACCUAAUGAAGUUGGUGACUCUAUGACAAUGUGGAGAAAUCAUGACAGAAAAUGUGGUUUGUACUGGGGCUGUCAAUGCUGUAAAGGAAGUUUGGGAAAAAAGAAUAAAAAAACUCAAUGAAGACCUGAAGCGAGAGAAGGAAUUUCAACACAAGCUAGUGCGGAUCUGGGAAGAACGAGUAAGCUUAACCAAGCUAAGAGAAAAGGUCACCAGGGAAGAUGGAAGAGUCAUUUUGAAGAUAGAAAAAGAGGAAUGGAAGACCCUCCCUUCUUCUCUGCUGAAACUGAAUCAACUACAGGAAUGGCAACUUCAUAGAACUGGUUUGCUGAAAAUUCCUGAAUUCAUUGGAAGAUUCCAGAACCUCAUUGUGUUAGAUUUAUCUCGAAACACAAUUUCAGAGAUACCACCAGGGAUUGGACUGCUUACUAGACUUCAGGAACUGAUUCUCAGCUACAACAAAAUCAAGACUGUCCCCAAGGAACUAAGUAAUUGUGCCAGCUUGGAGAAACUAGAACUGGCUGUUAACAGAGAUAUAUGUGAUCUUCCACAAGAGCUCAGCAAUCUGCUAAAACUUACUCACCUUGAUCUGAGUAUGAACCAUUUUACUACAAUCCCUCUUGCUGUGUUGAACAUGCCUGCCCUUGAGUGGCUGGACAUGGGAAGCAACAAACUUGAACAACUUCCUGAUACUAUAGAAAGAAUGCAAAAUCUACAUACGUUAUGGCUGCAACGAAAUGAAAUAACAUGCUUGCCUCAAACAAUCAGCAAUAUGAAAAAUCUGGGUACUCUUGUUCUCAGCAACAAUAAACUGCAAGAUAUUCCAGUAUGCAUGGAAGAAAUGGCAAAUCUGAGGUUUGUCAACUUCAGAGACAACCCACUGAAAUUGGAAGUAUCACUUCCUCCCAGUGAAGGCACAGAUGAAGAAGAGGAACGGGAAUUAUUUGGCCUUCAGUUUAUGCACACAUACAUACAAGAGUCACGGAGAAGAGCAGAAGAGAACAUACUUGUUUGUGCCUACAUAUAUAAAAAAUGACCUGAUAAAAGAUAUGAGAUAGCUAAUCAACUUCAGAAGUUAUUUCAAAUUUGUGAAUUAUGUUUAUCACCAAGUCAACGGUUCAACUACUUUACCAAUCUCCAUAAAUACGGAUGGAUAAUAUAAUUCAAGAUGCCCUUCUAAAGAGGAUUACUUUGGUGAAUUCUCUAAUGUUUGGAUUUCUGAAGUAAAAAGAAAAGCUAUUACCAAAGUUUAAUGAGGCCACAGCAUUUUUUAAAGUUCAUAUUAUUUGCUAUUUAAAGUAUAUAUUUUUUGAUAUAAAAAUAUAAUUAAAAAAAUUUUUUUGGUGGAA